This 439-nucleotide ribosomal RNA is filed under the name uncultured bacterium. Its description in RNAcentral is "partial 16S ribosomal RNA". It matches the Rfam family "Bacterial small subunit ribosomal RNA", at positions 339 to 795 of the family's 1533-position model. The record is from RNAcentral.
CUACGGGAUGCACCAGUGGGGAAUAUUGCACAAUGGAGGAAACUCUGAUGCAGCAACGCCGCGUGGAGGAUGACACUUUUCGGAGCGUAAACUCCUUUUAUAUAGGAAGAAGAUGACGGUACUAUAUGAAUAAGCGCCGGCUAACUCCGUGCCAGCAGCCGCGGUAAUACGGAGGGCGCAAGCGUUACUCGGAAUCACGGGGCGUAAAGAGCGUGUAGGCGGAUUAAAAAGUCAGAAGUGAAAUCCUAUAGCUUAACUAUAGAACUGCUUCUGAAACUCUUAAUCUAGAAUAUGGGAGAGGUAGAUGGAAUUUCUGGUGUAGGGGUAAAAUCCGUAGAGAUCAGAAGGAAUACCGAUUGCGAAGGCGAUCUACUAGAACAUUAUUGACGCUGAGACGCGAAAGCGUGGGGAGCAGACAGGAUUAGAUACCCUCGUAGUC